Syzygium oleosum is the source of this 357-nucleotide long non-coding RNA. RefSeq lists it as uncharacterized. The record is from RefSeq and is a predicted model, not a curated record. The transcript is spliced from 2 exons. Lineage: Eukaryota; Viridiplantae; Streptophyta; Magnoliopsida; Myrtales; Myrtaceae.
AAACUGGGUUCGACUGCUGAUGCUGUAUGCUUCCAUUGUGGUGAGAAUGGACAUUGGAAGAGGAAUUGCAAGAAAUAUUUGGAGGAUCUGAAGAAAAAGGGAAGUGAGACUUCCGAUUCAGGGACUAAAACGAAGUAGAACACUUGCAAAAGGUGAAGUGGAACUACGAGUUGGAAAUGGAGCAAGAGUUGCUGCAUUAGCCGUAGGAACAUAUGAUGUAGCUUUACCUUCUGGCAUGAUUUUAGAAUUGAAUAAUUGCUACUAUGUACCUGCUAUACGCAGGAAUAUUAUUUUUGUUUCUUGUUUGGACAAGGAAGGUUUCUAUUUUGAUAUAAAGAACAAUAGUUGUUCGUUUUA